This 2159-nucleotide long non-coding RNA is filed under the name Homo sapiens (human). RNAcentral describes it as "HSALNT0361405". Lineage: Eukaryota; Metazoa; Chordata; Mammalia; Primates; Hominidae. The record is from RNAcentral.
CUAGAAACAGGAGUGGAACCUACCUCACCUGAAACAGAUGACUUCUUGGAGAAGAGGGAAUAUUUUAAAAAAUCAGGAUUCUGGAUGGUUUAGAGAAUCACCAGGAAGUCAGGAACAAAGAGUUCCUGGGCAGCUGGCACCACAGUGCAGAUCAUGACAUGGAACACAGAGGAAUGGCUGCUGCCAUCUUUGACCAUGGGAUGCCACAUCUCGAAACACCAACUCUGCUGGUCCCCAGAGCCCAGAUACAGCUACUUGUGCUUCUAUCACCGUGUCCCUGGAAACAGAUGUUGCUGCUAUUACUGGAACUGCCAUAAAAGAUUCUCUGCUGCCUGGCUUUUUUGCUCCCCAAUCUGAGCUUAUGAUAAAUGCCUCACUGUUGCUGCAAGGAGGGGGCCAAUACCCAGGACAACAGGACAGCCAAAAACAAACAAACAAACAAAUGAACAAACAGAAAAGUUCCAGACUCUGGUGAAACACAUGUUUCAGGCCCCUCAGCAAGAGUGGACAAGACAAACAUCUUUACAAGCCCCUCCCCAAAAGGUGCCUUGAGCUGUCCAGAAGAGACAAACCGAAGCCCUGCACUGGAAGGGAGGAAAAGAGAGAGGAACCCCUCCCCCCAGCAAGGAGCGGAGUUAGCUGAAAACUGCACCGAUCCCCUCUUGGGCUCUUCCUUGGCUGCUGCCCCUUCGGCGCAACUGCCCUUCCUCUUGGGCUUCGGCAGUGGGAAGAGAGCGAGCCGGGUGCUUUUGAGCUGCAGUGCGCGGAGAGGCUUCGCGAGGCUGGGCUCAGUAUUCGUUAAUGAUCAAACAAUUAUUUAUGUUGACAGCCCACAUCUCCCUUUCCGUAGUUUCCAUCUGAAGACUUAGCUCUACCCUUCUGGUGCAGAACAGGAAAGCCUAAUCUGUCUUCCCUGAGAUUCAAGAAAUUCAAGAGGCUGCUCCUCCUGGGGCCUCUGUCGGUAUCCUCCUUGUUGCUCCUAGUUAAACUCUUAUUCCUCAGGUAAGAUGGUGCUGAGUCUACUCACCAUCGGACUGUGGUGUCUAGUAUUGGACACCACAUCCCUGAUGUGCCCUGACACCUCAGUGCUCUCCCACAUAGAACCUAGUGGGCACUGUGUCCCCGCAUCUAUCUGAAGAACUGCUCAAGAGGCUUUGUGGGAGGUCUAGCUCCUCCUCACCCCCUCCAGGCUUGACAUGCCUCCACCCCCACCACCCCGUACCCUUCGCAGCAUACUUCCAGUCAGGCAGCAAUCAGCUUGCACCUGAGAGGGAUCAGCUGUGGUGACUGAGGCUGGCUUGCUCUUGCAGCCCCAGGAACACAGAGAUUCGUGCUGAAGAACCAAAUGGUUUCUACAGUACAAGCAGGCGCCAGGGACUCCGCAGGAGGCAUCACUGGCACCUUCUAAUUGAUGAGCAGUCCAGCUCUGAAGCUGUGGGCUCUAAAGCCAGAUACCUCCUCCAGGUGACUCUGAUCUUCCUCUCCCAGCUGAAUAGAGUGAACUUCAGCGUUUCUGGCCUCCAGUUCCUGAACUCUGCUUCUUCCAAGGCAGGUAAGGCAGUUUUGUUCCUCUGCUGGAAGAGUAAUUUCAGGCCUCCCUGUGCCACAUGCUGGUCCUUUUGCCUGGAAUGCUCUUCCUGUCUUCUCUGCUUUCUCCUUCAAGUUUUAGCUUAGGCAUCGCCUUCUCCGGGAAGCUCUUCCUGACCCCCAUUGCUACCCACAGUGAGUCACUUGCUCUCUGUUCCUCACUUCCACGAUGUUUCCUCCUGUCUCCAUCAUUCUACUCAUUAGCCCAGGUGGCAAUUAUUUGUUGUGGUGUUUGUUGUAGACAAAGACAGUCUUGUUUUUUUGGUUUUGGCAUUUUGCUACUAAAUGUGUUUUUGAUAAAUGAAUAAAUAUAAUAACACCACAAUAGCAGCUAAAAAUUAUUUAUUGACCAUUCACUAUGCAAAUGCACAUGCAUUUUCUUAAGUAUUCCAAUAACACAGUGCCAUGGUUAUUAUCUCAGUUUUACAGAUGUAGAAACAGGCUCACGUGAAUUAUGUAACUUGUUCAAGGCCAUAAUAGCAGUUUGUGGUGAGUCUGGGACUUAAACCUAGGUCUUUUAAAAAAAUUAUUAUUCCAAAGUCUUGUUUUAAACUUUGUAAUAUGAAUGUUUA